RNAcentral lists this ribosomal RNA (490 nucleotides) under uncultured bacterium. RNAcentral's name for it is "partial 16S ribosomal RNA". It matches the Rfam family "Bacterial small subunit ribosomal RNA", at positions 30 to 507 of the family's 1533-position model. The record is from RNAcentral.
AUUGAACGCUGGCGGCAGGCCUAACACAUGCAAGUCGAACGGUAACAGGAAGAAGCUUGCUUCUUUGCUGACGAGUGGCGGACGGGUGAGUAAUGUCUGUGAAACUGCCUGAUGGAGGGGGAUAACUACUGGAAACGGUAGCUAAUACCGCAUAACGUCGCAAGACCAAAGAGGGGGACCUUCGGGCCUCUUGCCAUCGGAUGUGCCCAGAUGGGAUUAGCUAGUAGGUGGGGUAACGGCUCACCUAGGCGACGAUCCCUAGCUGGUCUGAGAGGAUGACCAGCCACACUGGAACGGAGACACGGUCCAGACCCCUACGGGAGGCAGCAGUGGGGAAUAUUGCACAAUGGGCGCAAGCCAGAUGCAGCCAUGCCGCGUGUAUGAAGAAGGCCUUCGGGUUGUAAAGUACUUUCAGCGGGGAGGAAGGGAGUAAAGUUAAUACCUUUGCUCAUUGACGUUACCCGCAGAAGAAGCACCGGCUAACUCCGUG